GGCUCGGUAGCUUAGUUGGUAAAGCGCUCGUCUAGCAUACAAGAGUCUGAGUUCAAAUCCCAGCCGAGCAC
RNAcentral lists this transfer RNA (71 nucleotides) under Aedes aegypti (yellow fever mosquito). It matches the Rfam family "tRNA". From Rfam's summary of the family: Transfer RNA (tRNA) molecules are approximately 80 nucleotides in length. The record is from Rfam by way of RNAcentral. Lineage: Eukaryota; Metazoa; Arthropoda; Insecta; Diptera; Culicidae.